UUGACCUCGAAUCAGGUAGGACUACCCGCUGAACUUAA
This 38-nucleotide ribosomal RNA is filed under the name Beauveria vermiconia. RNAcentral's name for it is "partial 28S ribosomal RNA". The record is from RNAcentral. Lineage: Eukaryota; Fungi; Ascomycota; Sordariomycetes; Hypocreales; Cordycipitaceae. RNAcentral also lists the same sequence under 20 other names.